UACGAAGGGGGCUAGCGUUGCUCGGAAUCACUGGGCGUAAAGCGCACGUAGGCCGAUUGUUAAGUCAGGGGUGAAAUCCUGGAGCUCAACUCCAGAACUGCCCUUGAUACUGACGGUCUCGAGUCCGGGAGAGGUGAGUGGAACUGCGAGUGUAGAGGUGAAAUGCGUAGAUAUCGGGAGGAACACCAGUGGCGAAGGCGACUACCUGGCCUGUUCUUGACGCUGAGGCGCGAAAGCUAGGGGAGCAAACGGG
Molecule: ribosomal RNA, 253 nt
Filed under: uncultured bacterium
Lineage: Bacteria
Description: partial 16S ribosomal RNA
Rfam family: Bacterial small subunit ribosomal RNA
Source: RNAcentral